GACGAACGCUGGCGGCGUGCUUAACACAUGCAAGUCGAACGGAAAGGCCCUGCUUUUGUGGGGUGCUCGAGUGGCGAACGGGUGAGUAACACGUGAGUAACCUGCCCUUGACUUUGGGAUAACUUCAGGAAACUGGGGCUAAUACCGGAUAGGAGCUCCUGCUGCAUGGGGGGGGUUGGAAAGUUUCGGCGGUUGGGGAUGGACUCGCGGCUUAUCAGCUUGUUGGUGGGGUAGUGGCUUACCAAGGCUUUGACGGGUAGCCGGCCUGAGAGGGUGACCGGCCACAUUGGGACUGAGAUACGGCCCAGACUCCUACGGGAGGCAGCAGUGGGGAAUAUUGCACAAUGGGCGGAAGCCUGAUGCAGCAACGCCGCGUGCGGGAUGACGGCCUUCGGGUUGUAAACCGCUUUCGCCUGUGACGAAGCGUGAGUGACGGUAAUGUGUAAAGAAGCACCGGCUAACUACGUG
This 468-nucleotide ribosomal RNA is filed under the name uncultured bacterium. RNAcentral's name for it is "partial 16S ribosomal RNA". It matches the Rfam family "Bacterial small subunit ribosomal RNA", at positions 28 to 507 of the family's 1533-position model. The record is from RNAcentral.